Molecule: long non-coding RNA, 463 nt
Filed under: Taeniopygia guttata (zebra finch)
Lineage: Eukaryota; Metazoa; Chordata; Aves; Passeriformes; Estrildidae
Description: lncRNA (ENSTGUG00000020349.1)
Source: RNAcentral
UCUCAGUUACCAAGUGCAGCUCUCUGUAAAAGGCUGAAAUCAGAAUGACACCCUAAAGACUUCUGUUCCACUCUCCCAUGCCCUCCUAAGAAGAUGUUUUAUUCCUCUUAUAUGCCACCCUCCAGUUUUCAUGGAACGCCAUUUAUAACAAAAGAUCUUCAAGCAUAAAAGAGCUCUGCUUUGACACUUUGCAAUAAGGCAGUCUGGCCAAGUAGACCCAGAUUGGCAGGAGCAAGUGCUGUAAUACUCAGUUCUCAGUGGAUGAUUAAAACUGAAAGCACCUGUGAUGUCUGGAUGAGAAAAAGCGUCCCAAUUUGUAAGAUGUUUUCAGGUAUAUCAGGCCAUGGUGCCAACUGGAUUUCAAACGUGCUGGAUUACAGUGGAACCCCUGUGGAAGAACCUGUGACAUUCACAUGAACACCACAUGAAUUCUUAAUAAUCUGCAGGUUAUACUGAAUACUGA